AUUGAACGCCGGCGGAAUGCUUUACACAUGCAAGUCGAACGGUAGAGGGGGCAACCCCUCGAGAGUGGCGAACGGGUGAGUAAUGUAUCGGAACGUGCCCAGUCGUGGGGGAUAACGUAGUGAAAAUUACGCUAAUACCGCAUACGAUCUAUGGAUGAAAGCGGGGGAUCGCAAGACCCCGCGCGAUUGGAGCGGCCGAUAUCAGAUUAGGUAGUUGGUGGGGUAAAGGCCCACCAAGCCAACGACCUGUAGCUGGUCUGAGAGGACGACCAGCCACACUGGAACUGAGACACGGUCCAGACUCCUACGGGAGGCAGCAGUGGGGAAUUUUGGACAAUGGGCGAAAGCCUGAUCCAGCCAUUCCGCGUGCAGGAUGAAGGCCCUCGGGUUGUAAACUGCUUUUGUACAGAACGAAAAGGUUUCUACUAAUACUAGGAGCUCAUGACGGUACUGUAAGAAUAAGCACCGGCUAACUACGUGCCAGCAGCCGCAGUAA
This 496-nucleotide ribosomal RNA is filed under the name uncultured bacterium. Its description in RNAcentral is "partial 16S ribosomal RNA". It matches the Rfam family "Bacterial small subunit ribosomal RNA", at positions 30 to 523 of the family's 1533-position model. The record is from RNAcentral.